Molecule: ribosomal RNA, 347 nt
Filed under: uncultured bacterium
Lineage: Bacteria
Description: bacterial SSU rRNA
Rfam family: Bacterial small subunit ribosomal RNA
Source: RNAcentral
AGGGUUCGAUUAUGGCUCAGGACGAACGCUGGCGGCGCGCCUAACACAUGCAAGUCGAACGGAGCUUGCUUGUCAGAUCCUUUCGGGGUGACGACUUGUAAGCUUAGUGGCGAACGGGUGAGUAACACGUGAGUAACCUGCCCCAGAGUGGGGGACAACAGUUGGAAACGACUGCUAAUACCGCAUAAGCCCACGGAACCGCAUGGUUCAGAGGGAAAAGGAGCAAUUCGCUUUGGGAUGGACUCGCGUCCGAUUAGCUAGAUGGUGAGGUAACGGCCCACCAUGGCGACGAUCGGUAGCCGGACUGAGAGGUUGAUCGGCCACAUUGGGACUGAGACACGGCCCAG